Molecule: ribosomal RNA, 497 nt
Filed under: uncultured bacterium
Lineage: Bacteria
Description: partial 16S ribosomal RNA
Rfam family: Bacterial small subunit ribosomal RNA
Source: RNAcentral
GAUGAACGCUGGCGGCGUGCCUAAUACAUGCAAGUCGAGCGAACAGACGAGGAGCUUGCUCCUCUGACGUUAGCGGCGGACGGGUGAGUAACACGUGGAUAACCUACCUAUAAGACUGGGAUAACUUCGGGAAACCGGAGCUAAUACCGGAUAACAUGUUGAACCGCAUGGUUCAACAGUGAAAGACGGUCUUGCUGUCACUUAUAGAUGGAUCCGCGCCGCAUUAGCUAGUUGGUAAGGUAACGGCUUACCAAGGCAACGAUGCGUAGCCGACCUGAGAGGGUGAUCGGCCACACUGGAACUGAGACACGGUCCAGACUCCUACGGGAGGCAGCAGUAGGGAAUCUUCCGCAAUGGGCGAAAGCCUGACGGAGCAGCGCCGCGUGAGUGAAGAAGGUCUUCGGAUCGUAAAACUCUGUUAUUAGGGAAGAACAAAUGUGUAAGUAACUAUGCACGUCUUGACGGUACCUAAUCAGAAAGCCACGGCUAACUACGUG